GUGGGGAAUAUUGCACAAUGGGCGAAAGCCUGAUGCAGCAACGCCGCGUGAGGGACGACGGCCUUCGGGUUGUAAACCUCUUUUAGUAGGGAAGAAGCGAAAGUGACGGUACCUGCAGAAAAAGCACCGGCUAACUACGUGCCAGCAGCCGCGGUAAUACGUAGGGUGCAAGCGUUAUCCGGAAUUAUUGGGCGUAAAGAGCUCGUAGGCGGUCUGUCGCGUCUGCUGUGAAAACCCGAGGCUCAACCUCGGGCCUGCAGUGGGUACGGGCAGACUAGAGUGCGGUAGGGGAGAUUGGAAUUCCUGGUGUAGCGGUGGAAUGCGCAGAUAUCAGGAGGAACACCGAUGGCGAAGGCAGAUCUCUGGGCCGUAACUGACGCUGAGGAGCGAAAGCGUGGGGAGCGAACAGGAUUAGAAACCCUAGUAGUCC
RNAcentral lists this ribosomal RNA (430 nucleotides) under uncultured bacterium. RNAcentral's name for it is "partial 16S ribosomal RNA". It matches the Rfam family "Bacterial small subunit ribosomal RNA", at positions 354 to 796 of the family's 1533-position model. The record is from RNAcentral.